This 71-nucleotide transfer RNA is filed under the name Bifidobacterium eulemuris. RNAcentral's name for it is "tRNA-Trp". It matches the Rfam family "tRNA". Rfam says of the family: Transfer RNA (tRNA) molecules are approximately 80 nucleotides in length. Their secondary structure includes four short double-helical elements and three loops (D, anti-codon, and T loops). The record is from RNAcentral. Lineage: Bacteria; Bacillati; Actinomycetota; Actinomycetes; Bifidobacteriales; Bifidobacteriaceae.
AUGCCGGUGGUCCAGUGGUAGGAUGGCGGUCUCCAAAACCGCAAGCGGGAGUUCGAUUCUCUCUCGGUGUG